UACGUAGGGUGCAAGCGUUGUCCGGAAUUAUUGGGCGUAAAGAGCUCGUAGGCGGUUCGUCGCGUCGGCUGUGAAAACCUGAGGCUCAACCUCAGGCCUGCAGUCGAUACGGGCGGACUUGAGUACUGCAGGGGAGACUGGAAUUCCUGGUGUAGCGGUGAAAUGCGCAGAUAUCAGGAGGAACACCGGUGGCGAAGGCGGGUCUCUGGGCCGGCCCUGACACUGAGACGCGAAGGCGUGGGGAGCGAACGGG
RNAcentral lists this ribosomal RNA (253 nucleotides) under uncultured bacterium. Its description in RNAcentral is "partial 16S ribosomal RNA". It matches the Rfam family "Bacterial small subunit ribosomal RNA", at positions 524 to 776 of the family's 1533-position model. The record is from RNAcentral.